This 253-nucleotide ribosomal RNA is filed under the name uncultured bacterium. Its description in RNAcentral is "partial 16S ribosomal RNA". It matches the Rfam family "Bacterial small subunit ribosomal RNA", at positions 524 to 776 of the family's 1533-position model. The record is from RNAcentral.
UACGAAGGGUGCAAACGUUGCUCGGAAUCAUUGGGCGUAAAGCGCACGUAGGCGGCUCCGCAAGUCGGAUGUGAAAUCCCUCGGCUCAACCGAGGACGUGCAUCCGAAACUGCGGAGCUUGAGUACUGAAGAGGAUCGCGGAAUUCCCGGUGUAGAGGUGAAAUGCGUAGAUAUCGGGAGGAACAUCAGUGGCGAAGGCGGCUACCUGGCCCAAUACUGACACUCAGGUGCGACAGCGUGGGGAGCAAACAGG